Molecule: ribosomal RNA, 1607 nt
Filed under: Salmonella enterica subsp. enterica serovar Anatum
Lineage: Bacteria; Pseudomonadati; Pseudomonadota; Gammaproteobacteria; Enterobacterales; Enterobacteriaceae
Description: partial 23S ribosomal RNA
Rfam family: Bacterial large subunit ribosomal RNA
Source: RNAcentral
ACUGUGUGUUGUUGGGUAGGGGAGCGUUCUGUAAGCCUGUGAAGGUGUGUCGUGAGGCAUGCUGGAGGUAUCAGAAGUGCGAAUGCUGACAUAAGUAACGAUAAAGCGGGUGAAAAGCCCGCUCGCCGGAAGACCAAGGGUUCCUGUCCAACGUUAAUCGGGGCAGGGUGAGUCGACCCCUAAGGCGAGGCCGAAAGGCGUAGUCGAUGGGAAACGGGUUAAUAUUCCCGUACUUGGUGUUACUGCGAAGGGGGGACGGAGAAGGCUAUGUUGGCCGGGCGACGGUUGUCCCGGUUUAAGCGUGUAGGUGUGUGUUCCAGGUAAAUCCGGUUCACUUUAACACUGAGGCGUGAUGACGAGGCACUACGGUGCUGAAGCAACAAAUGCCCUGCUUCCAGGAAAAGCCUCUAAGCAUCAGGUAACACGAAAUCGUACCCCAAACCGACACAGGUGGUCAGGUAGAGAAUACCAAGGCGCUUGAGAGAACUCGGGUGAAGGAACUAGGCAAAAUGGUGCCGUAACUUCGGGAGAAGGCACGCUGACACGUAGGUGAAGUGAUUUACUCAUGGAGCUGAAGUCAGUCGAAGAUACCAGCUGGCUGCAACUGUUUAUUAAAAACACAGCACUGUGCAAACACGAAAGUGGACGUAUACGGUGUGACGCCUGCCCGGUGCCGGAAGGUUAAUUGAUGGGGUCAGCGCAAGCGAAGCUCCUGAUCGAAGCCCCGGUAAACGGCGGCCGUAACUAUAACGGUCCUAAGGUAGCGAAAUUCCUUGUCGGGUAAGUUCCGACCUGCACGAAUGGCGUAAUGAUGGCCAGGCUGUCUCCACCCGAGACUCAGUGAAAUUGAACUCGCUGUGAAGAUGCAGUGUACCCGCGGCAAGACGGAAAGACCCCGUGAACCUUUACUAUAGCUUGACACUGAACAUUGAGCCUUGAUGUGUAGGAUAGGUGGGAGGCUUUGAAGUGUGGACGCCAGUCUGCAUGGAGCCGACCUUGAAAUACCACCCUUUAAUGUUUGAUGUUCUAACGUGGACCCGUGAUCCGGGUUGCGGACAGUGUCUGGUGGGUAGUUUGACUGGGGCGGUCUCCUCCUAAAGAGUAACGGAGGAGCACGAAGGUUGGCUAAUCCUGGUCGGACAUCAGGAGGUUAGUGCAAUGGCAUAAGCCAGCUUGACUGCGAGCGUGACGGCGCGAGCAGGUGCGAAAGCAGGUCAUAGUGAUCCGGUGGUUCUGAAUGGAAGGGCCAUCGCUCAACGGAUAAAAGGUACUCCGGGGAUAACAGGCUGAUACCGCCCAAGAGUUCAUAUCGACGGCGGUGUUUGGCACCUCGAUGUCGGCUCAUCACAUCCUGGGGCUGAAGUAGGUCCCAAGGGUAUGGCUGUUCGCCAUUUAAAGUGGUACGCGAGCUGGGUUUAGAACGUCGUGAGACAGUUCGGUCCCUAUCUGCCGUGGGCGCUGGAGAACUGAGGGGGGCUGCUCCUAGUACGAGAGGACCGGAGUGGACGCAUCACUGGUGUUCGGGUUGUCAUGCCAAUGGCACUGCCCGGUAGCUAAAUGCGGAAGAGAUAAGUGCUGAAAGCAUCUAAGCACGAAACUUGCCCCGA